AAUGAACGCUGGCGGCGUGCCUAACACAUGCAAGUCGGACGCGAAAUUUUCCUUCGGGGAGAGAGUAGAGUGGCGCACGGGUGAGUAACGCGUGGGUAACCUGCCUGGGAGUGGGGGACAACAUUCCGAAAGGGAUGCUAAUCCCGCAUACGACAUUACUGCUUAAGUGGUAAUGGGAAAGGUAGCCUCUGUUUACAAGCUAUCGCUCCUGGAUGGGCCUGCGUCAGAUUAGCUAGUUGGUGGGGUAAUGGCCUACCAAGGCGACGAUCUGUAACUGGUCUGAGAGGAUGAUCAGUCACACUGGAACUGAGACACGGUCCAGACUCCUACGGGAGGCAGCAGUGAGGAAUUUUGCACAAUGGGGGAAACCCUGAUGCAGCGACGCCGCGUGGGUGAUGAAGGCCUUCGGGUUGUAAAGCCCUGUCAGU
This 428-nucleotide ribosomal RNA is filed under the name uncultured bacterium. RNAcentral describes it as "bacterial SSU rRNA". It matches the Rfam family "Bacterial small subunit ribosomal RNA", at positions 29 to 440 of the family's 1533-position model. The record is from RNAcentral.